This 77-nucleotide transfer RNA is filed under the name Actinomycetes bacterium. Its description in RNAcentral is "tRNA-Pro". It matches the Rfam family "tRNA". From Rfam's summary of the family: Transfer RNA (tRNA) molecules are approximately 80 nucleotides in length. Their secondary structure includes four short double-helical elements and three loops (D, anti-codon, and T loops). Further hydrogen bonds mediate the characteristic L-shaped molecular structure. tRNAs have two regions of fundamental functional importance: the anti-codon, which is responsible for specific mRNA codon recognition, and the 3' end, to which the tRNAs corresponding amino acid is attached (by aminoacyl-tRNA synthetases). tRNAs cope with the degeneracy of the genetic code in two manners: having more than one tRNA (with a specific anti-codon) for a particular amino acid; and 'wobble' base-pairing, i.e. permitting non-standard base-pairing at the 3rd anti-codon position. Lineage: Bacteria; Bacillati; Actinomycetota; Actinomycetes. The record is from RNAcentral.
CGGGGUGUAGCGCAGCUUGGUAGCGCAUCUGCUUUGGGAGCAGAGGGUCACAGGUUCAAAUCCUGCCACCCCGACCA